RNAcentral lists this ribosomal RNA (395 nucleotides) under uncultured Sphingobacteriales bacterium. RNAcentral describes it as "bacterial SSU rRNA". It matches the Rfam family "Bacterial small subunit ribosomal RNA", at positions 984 to 1382 of the family's 1533-position model. The record is from RNAcentral. Lineage: Bacteria; Pseudomonadati; Bacteroidota; Sphingobacteriia; Sphingobacteriales.
AACGUAAGAUGACUGUAGUGAAAGCUUACAUCUCUUCGGAGCAUUUUACGAGGUGCUGCAUGGUUGUCGUCAGCUCGUGCCGUGAGGUGUCGGGUUAAGUCCCAUAACGAGCGCAACCCCUACCUUAGUUGCCAUCAGGUUAAGCUGGGGACUCUAAAGGAACUGCCUACGCAAGUAGUGAGGAAGCGGGGAUGACGUCAAAUCAGCACGGCCCUUACGUCCAGGGCUACACACGUGCUACAAUGGCCGAUACAGAGGGCAGCUACCUAGUGACAGGAUGCAAAUCUCCAAAGUCGGUCUCAGUUCGGAUCGGAGUCUGCAACCCGACUCCGUGAAGUUGGAUUCGCUAGUAAUCGCGCAUCAGCCAUGGCGCGGUGAAUACGUUCCCGGGCCUU